AAGGGCGUUCUGAAGACCUGCUCUCUAGGCCACAUGCUGAGGACGCUGGUUCCUCCAGGGCUCCCGAGCCCACCUAGGGGAAAGUCCCCGGACUCCAGGCAGAGAGUGCCGCUCGCUCCGCAGCGUGCAGUGACCCGCCUCGCCGGCUCAUGUUCUCCCUGCCGAGAAGCCCCCCGGGCUGAGCGGGUGGGCGCGGGAUGGGCUGCCUGUCACUCCCACAGGAAUGCAGGUAGGACUCUCAGCCUCAAGGGCUGAUAAUCUGGCAUUUU
Molecule: RNase MRP RNA, 269 nt
Filed under: Terrapene triunguis (Three-toed box turtle)
Lineage: Eukaryota; Metazoa; Chordata; Testudines; Emydidae
Description: Terrapene carolina triunguis (Three-toed box turtle) RNase MRP (ENSTMTG00000008898.1)
Rfam family: RNase MRP
About the family: RNase MRP is an enzymatically active ribonucleoprotein with two distinct roles in eukaryotes. In mitochondria it plays a direct role in the initiation of mitochondrial DNA replication.
Source: RNAcentral